This 444-nucleotide RNase P RNA is filed under the name Simplicispira suum. Its description in RNAcentral is "RNase P RNA component class A". It matches the Rfam family "Bacterial RNase P class A". From Rfam's summary of the family: Ribonuclease P (RNase P) is a ubiquitous endoribonuclease, found in archaea, bacteria and eukarya as well as chloroplasts and mitochondria. Its best characterised activity is the generation of mature 5'-ends of tRNAs by cleaving the 5'-leader elements of precursor-tRNAs. The record is from RNAcentral. Lineage: Bacteria; Pseudomonadati; Pseudomonadota; Betaproteobacteria; Burkholderiales; Comamonadaceae.
GAAGCGCGCCAGACCGCCGCUGGUGCAAGCUGGGAAACCAGGCACUGGAGGAACGUCCGGACUGCACAGGACAGCGUAGCAGCUAACGGCUGCCCACCGUGAGGUGAGGAUCAGAGCAACAGAGACGAGUUUGGGUGUAGAGCCACCAAGGGUGUUCUGUGGGUCGCCAGCGAAAGCUGGUGCCGAAUGGCGUAAGCCAGUCGGUUCCCGGCGCAAGCCGGGAAAGCCCACAGCCACCUUGGGCGCUCCGCGCCCAAGGUGAAACGGGCAAUCUCUACGCGCAGCAAUACCAAGUAGGCCAACGUUGAUGUGGUUCCGCAGAGUUGGCGGGUAGGUAGCAUCGAGCCGUGGUGGCGACACCCGGCCCAGAGUAAUGGCGGUCACGCCCAGCCUUCGCAAGGGGGUUCGGGUGCACAGAAUCCGGCUUAUCGGCGCGCUUCACAC